CCUACGGGAGGCCGCAGUCGAGAAUCUUCCGCAAUGGACGAAAGUCUGACGGAGCGAUACAGCGUGAUGGAUGAAGUGCUUCGGUACGUAAACAUCUUUUAUGUGGGACGAAAUUAUUGACGGUACCACAUGAAUAAGGGGCUCCUAACUCUGUGCCAGCAGGAGCGGUAAUACAGAGGCCCCGAAGCGUUAUCCGGAAUUACUGGGCGUAAAGGAUGUCAAGGCGGUCAUGUUAGUCGUGUGUAAAAUCCGGGGGGUCUCAACCUCCGGCCCGCACACGAAACGGCAUGACUAGAGGUUGGAAGAGGUGCGUGGAACUCACGGUGUAGGGGUGAAAUCCGUUGAUAUCGUGGGGUAACACCAAAGGCGAAGGCAGCGCACUGGUCCAAAUCUGACGCUCACACAUGAAAGCCAGGGUAGCGAAUGGGAUUAGAUACCCCGAGUAGUCCUGGCCCUAAACGUUGCUCGCUCGUUACUACGGAGAAUCGACCCUCUGUGGGACUAAGCUAACGCGGUAAGCGAGCCGCCUGGGUAGUACGAUCGCAAGNUUAAAACUCAAAUGAAUUGACGGCUGAGAGNGCGACGCGACGACGAGGAGAG
RNAcentral lists this ribosomal RNA (600 nucleotides) under uncultured bacterium. Its description in RNAcentral is "bacterial SSU rRNA". It matches the Rfam family "Bacterial small subunit ribosomal RNA", at positions 338 to 945 of the family's 1533-position model. The record is from RNAcentral.